Molecule: ribosomal RNA, 1369 nt
Filed under: uncultured bacterium
Lineage: Bacteria
Description: bacterial SSU rRNA
Rfam family: Bacterial small subunit ribosomal RNA
Source: RNAcentral
GACGAACGCUGGCGGCGUGCCUAAUACAUGCAAGUAGAACGCUGAAGAGAGGAGCUUGCUCUUCUUGGAUGAGUUGCGAACGGGUGAGUAACGCGUAGGUAACCUGCCUGGUAGCGGGGGAUAACUAUUGGAAACGAUAGCUAAUACCGCAUAAAAUUGAUUAUUGCAUGAUAAUUAAUUGAAAGAUGCAAUUGCAUCACUACCAGAUGGACCUGCGUUGUAUUAGCUAGUUGGUGAGGUAACGGCUCACCAAGGCGACGAUACAUAGCCGACCUGAGAGGGUGAUCGGCCACACUGGGACUGAGACACGGCCCAGACUCCUACGGGAGGCAGCAGUAGGGAAUCUUCGGCAAUGGGGGGAACCCUGACCGAGCAACGCCGCGUGAGUGAAGAAGGUUUUCGGAUCGUAAAGCUCUGUUGUAAGAGAAGAACGGGUGUGAGAGUGGAAAGUUCACACUGUGACGGUAUCUUACCAGAAAGGGACGGCUAACUACGUGCCAGCAGCCGCGGUAAUGCGUAGGUCCCGAGCGUUGUCCGGAUUUAUUGGGCGUAAAGCGAGCGCAGGCGGUUAGAUAAGUCUGAAGUUAAAGGCUGUGGCUUAACCAUAGUAUGCUUUGGAAACUGUUUAACUUGAGUGCAGAAGGGGAGAGUGGAAUUCCAUGUGUAGCGGUGAAAUGCGUAGAUAUAUGGAGGAACACCGGUGGCGAAAGCGGCUCUCUGGUCUGUAACUGACGCUGAGGCUCGAAAGCGUGGGGAGCAAACAGGGUUAGAUACCCUGGUAGUCCACGCCGUAAACGAUGAGUGCUAGGUGUUAGGCCCUUUCCGGGGCUUAGUGCCGCAGCUAACGCAUUAAGCACUCCGCCUGGGGAGUACGACCGCAAGAUUGAAACUCAAAGGAAUUGACGGGGGCCCGCACAAGCGGUGGAGCAUGUGGUUUAAUUCGAAGCAACGCGAAGAACCUUACCAGGUCUUGACAUCCCUCUGAUCGCUCUAGAGAUAGAGUUUUCCUUCGGGACAGAGGUGACAGGUGGUGCAUGGUUGUCGUCAGCUCGUGUCGUGAGAUGUUGGGUUAAGUCCCGCAACGAGCGCAACCCCUAUUGUUAGUUGCCAUCAUUCAGUUGGGCACUCUAGCGAGACUGCCGGUAAUAAACCGGAGGAAGGUGGGGAUGACGUCAAAUCAUCAUGCCCCUUAUGACCUGGGCUACACACGUGCUACAAUGGCUGGUACAACGAGUCGCAAGCCGGUGACGGCAAGCUAAUCUCUGAAAGCCAGUCUCAGUUCGGAUUGUAGGCUGCAACUCGCCUACAUGAAGUCGGAAUCGCUAGUAAUCGCGGAUCAGCACGCCGCGGUGAAUACGUUCCCGGGCCU